GUUGUGGUUAAAAAGCUCGUAGUUGGAUCUCAACAGCCUUGAAGCGGUUAACUUUGUAGUUUUACUGCUUUAUAGGCUGUGCUUUUGCUGGAGGUUUAGGGGUGCUCUUGAUCGAGUGUCUCUGGAUGCCAGCAGGUUUACUUUGAAAAAAUUAGAGUGCUCAAAGCAGGCUAAAAUGCCUGAAUAUUCGUGCAUGGAAUAAUAGAAUAGGAUGUCGAUCCUAUUUUGUUGGUUUUCGGGACUCGACAUAAUGAUAAAUAGGGACAGUCGGGGGCAUUUGUAUUCAAACGACAGAGGUGAAAUUCUUGGACCGUUUGAAGACAAACUACUGCGAAAGCAUUUGCCAAGAAUGUUUUCAUUAAUCAAGAACGAAAGUUAGAGGUUCGAAAGGCGAUUAGAUACCGCCCUAGUUCUAACCAUAAACGAUGCCAGCUAGCGAUCUGCCUGCGUUUUUACUGUAGACUGGGCAGGAAGCUUCCGGGAAACCAAAGCAUUUGGGUUCCAGGGGAAGUAUGGUUGCAAAGCUGAAACUUAAAGGAAUUGACGGAAAGGCACCACCAGGAGUGG
Molecule: ribosomal RNA, 567 nt
Filed under: uncultured marine eukaryote
Lineage: Eukaryota
Description: SSU rRNA
Rfam family: Eukaryotic small subunit ribosomal RNA
Source: RNAcentral